CAGUCGCCACGGGAAUACAGAGGGUGCGAGCGUUAAUCGGAUUUACUGGGCGUAAAGCGUGCGUAGGCGGCUUUUUAAGUCGGAUGUGAAAUCCCUGAGCUUAACUUAGGAAUUGAAUUCGAUACUGGGAAGCUAGAGUAUGGGAGAGGAUGGUAGAAUUCCAGGUGUAGCGGUGAAAUGCGUAGAGAUCUGGAGGAAUACCGAUGGCGAAGGCAGCCAUCUGGCCUAAUACUGACGCUGAGGUACGAAAGCAUGGGGAGCAAACAGGAUUAGAUACCCGUGUAGUCCCUGUCUCUUAUAC
Molecule: ribosomal RNA, 301 nt
Filed under: uncultured bacterium
Lineage: Bacteria
Description: partial 16S ribosomal RNA
Rfam family: Bacterial small subunit ribosomal RNA
Source: RNAcentral